AUCGACGGUUAUUGUUCCCCGAGGGGAGGGACAUGCUCAGACUCGGGGUCCACGCUGGCCGCCUCCCCAGAGCGUCCCCAGGUUCGAGGACGGCUGUGGGCUUCCUUUGUGUGUUCUCUGCCUGCCGCAGGCGUCGGUGCUGCCCCCAGGGGCGGCAGACGGGGGUGAGGGAGGUUGGUGCCAGCUCUGCCGCUGCCUCGAGCUCAGCUCGUCCGACCCAGUUUCCAGCUUGGCCCUUCCUGAGGAGGGUGGGGAGGGACGUGGUGUUUGUAGGGCAGCCUUUGAACAAUAGAACCAUCAAAAGACCUUCUCCCCGUCUGCUCCUCCAGAAAGGCCCUGGCCCAACAGGUCCUCUUAGCCUCGUUUUAUGCCUCCUUCCUCAGCACAAACAUUUCAUCUCUAUCAAGAUAUCGUUCUUCCAUAAAAAUAAUCCAGACUAGCUAUAGGAACCACUCAAGAUAUUUUGCCACAAGAUCUAGGACAAGAGGACUCACGGAGUAUCUCCCACCUUGUGGGUCUCUUGGGGUCCCUUCACCUGCUUCUGCUCCUGAAGAUGGUUGGACAUCCAUCCACCUUGCCUCUUCUGGCUGGACCUGGCCUGAAACUGAGUCUUUUGGAUUGUCUUUCUACUUUUCCAACUUGCCAAAUUUCUGAAAGAAGGACCAAAGUAAAGCCAAGAACUCCCAGAUGAAGAGGACCUUCCUGGAUUUGUAACAGGGAUUAACCAAUUCUUGAUUUCAGGAGGAAGUUUCAGCUAAUUCUCAGGAUAAAGUCAAAACAGGCCUGUCCCUUGGAUACUAAAGGUGUAAACAAGCUUCUGGCCCCCCCAGGUCAAGCAGAGACACGCUUUUUAUUGGAAGGUCCCUGGAUGAGGCUGAGAUCUGAAAGCCAGGAGGCAGAAUGUGAACUUUAAUGGCCCUUUCUUACCGCCUUUCUGGGGCCAGGACUACUCUUCAGGGCUUUCCUCUGCAACUUCCCCAUCCUCCUGGCUAGCUCAGUUGAGUCUUCUCACUCCACUCCAGGCUGGGUCCUGAGCCUCUCCUGGUAGCCAGAGCAAGCUCUCCCUCUCCCUAAAUCUCUUUCCCCACCCCAACCUCCCAUUUUGCAGCGGGCCAUUCCCACUGCCUCACCCCUACCCUGCAUUAAUUCACAUUUGACUGCCUGGACAGAACAACCACGGGCUCCCAAACGACUGCCACCCCCCAGCCAUGGGCCUGGGCUUGCAGCCCUGAUCCCUUUCUUCAGGCCUCAGGAGGAUCCCCCACAACCUCCCUGGUCCCCACCUUCCCCAAAGCGGUCUCUAUGGGAAGAAAAUAGAACAGGCCGAGGCCUGAGCCAAAGAGCCAUUUCCUCCGCUUAGGCAAGCGAGGGGAGCCUCCCAGAGACCACGGCCCGAGCGCAGCCUGGCCCUCUCCCACGGCCCGGCGCCGGCCCCGCGCUGCCUUUGUGUGGCCUUCCCCGCCGCGGAGCCCUUGGGGGCGCCGCGCGCACAAUGGCGCGGCCGCUCCCGGAAGACCCGGCUGCUCCGGGCGGCCAGGGCCAGCAGCCUCGAGGCUUCGGGGCGCACCCCGCGGCCCCCAGCGCGCCGGGCCCGGGGAACGUCCCAGGCUAGGGCAGAGGCUUCCUCCCCCUGCCGCCUGGUCCCUGUCCGCCGCAGGUCCUCCUCGGGAGAGGGAGAAGCCUGGCCCAGGGCGCCAUUGCCGGGCCGGGCUCCCCUCCCCCA
Molecule: long non-coding RNA, 1723 nt
Organism: Equus asinus (donkey)
Lineage: Eukaryota; Metazoa; Chordata; Mammalia; Perissodactyla; Equidae
Source: Ensembl